AGUGCAGAUGAUGAAAUGAAAAUGUUUUUGCUGCUAAUGUGGAUGAUGAAAAGGAUGUUUUGGAGCUCCUGAAAACAUGAGGUAUUUCUGUACUGUGCUCCGGUUUCCUCCCUCAGUCCAAAGACAUGCAGGUGAACUGCUUAGAGGAAUGCUGACACUGCUGUUCCAGCCAACACACACACCACCAUCUGGAAGCAGAGAGUGUCGAAUGUGAAACGGCCUCGGGACAAGUGUUACUGUGCAGAGAGGCAUCAUGGGAGCUCGAGGAACAGUGUUUGAGAGCAACGUGGAGAGAGAGAAACAGA
Siniperca chuatsi (mandarin fish) is the source of this 305-nucleotide long non-coding RNA. RefSeq lists it as uncharacterized. The record is from RefSeq and is a predicted model, not a curated record. The transcript has 3 exons. NCBI's taxonomy places the organism in Eukaryota, Metazoa, Chordata, Actinopteri, Centrarchiformes, Sinipercidae.